AUGUUAAAGAAAGCAGACAGCCGUUCCAGAUUCGCAAGGCGGGAGGGCUGGAAGAAAGAAAAAAUCCUAAAAAAACAAGAACAACAAAAAAAAGAAAGUGCUAAUAUCCAGCUUCAAAACAAUUUCACGAAAACAAGUUCAAACCACAAACAACUUUGUCCAAAACAAGUUUUCAAAAACAUGGAUUUGAAAUCACAAGUCAGUACACAACACAGGGAAGAAACAAAACUACUAUGGGGCAUUUGGAAGAAAACAUAAAAGGACAGAUUUAUGAUACUAGGAAAGGGGAGGAUUUCUUUAAUAAGGUAUAAAACGCACCAAGCAGAAAAGAAUAGUAGAAUAACUGUCUACAUUAAAAUCUUCUCUAUCCCAAAAGACACCAGAUGCAAAAUAUAAAGACAAGCCCUAGGGGCACCUGGGUGGCUCAGUUGGUUAACUGUCUGCCUUUGGCUUGGGUCAUGACCCUGGGGUCCUGGGAUCAAGCCCCAUAUCAGACUGCUUGGUUGGUGGGGAGCUUGCUUCUCCCUCUCCCUCUGCCUGCUGCUCCCCCUGCUUGUCCUCUCUCUCUUGCUAUCUUUCUCCAUGUCAAAUAAAUAAAAUCUUAAAAAAAAAAAAGACAAGCCAUAUCUGUGACUCAUACAACCAAGAAAAAAAAGUAGAAUAUCUUAUUAUGUCUUUAAAAAAAAAAGAAGCCCAAUAGAAAAAUGGGUAAAGGACAUGAACAGGCAAUUCUGAAAGGUCUAACAACCAUAACAAAUCAAACCAACCUCCCUUGUGACCAGAUUGUGUGGAAAUUACAGUCAUGAGAUCCCACUGAGAGCCAUGGGAUGGACAAAAAUUAAGAUCUGAUAACCCAAAUGUGGAUGCAGGUGUAAGAAAAUGGAAACUACUUCACUGGUAAGAGUGUAAACUGGUACAUCCAUCUAGGAAAAAAUAUGUGAAAAUGUGUAAAGCCUUCUAAAGAAGAUGCAUAUGCCAGUGGUAGAGAUAGUCUCCUUCAUGUUCAGAAAUGACUGAUUCUGUAUUCAUUCUACAUAACAGGGGAUAAGUAGAAUCAAUGUAAUCACCCCUGUGUGGGAAAGCUAUUUCAGUCAUCCAAUGAAAUACUAUAAAGCAGUUAAAAACGAUGAAAAAAAUCUACAUGUAUCAACAUUGCUGAAUCACAAAAAUCUAACAUAGAGUGAAAAAAGCAGGUUACAAAAGGCUAGUAUACUCUGAUAGCAUUUACAUACAUUUUUAAAACAAAAAAGUAUACAAUAAAAAUAUAAAAUCAUGCUUAUAUGUUUUAAACUUUAAUAUUUUAUUUAUUUAUUUGUCAGAGACAGAGAGAUCACAUAAGCAGGGGAAGCAGCAGACUGAGGGAGAAGCAGCCUCCCUGCUGAGCAAGGAGUCUCAUGCAGGGCUCAACCCCAGGACACUGGGAUCAUGAC
Molecule: long non-coding RNA, 1430 nt
Filed under: Mustela putorius furo (domestic ferret)
Lineage: Eukaryota; Metazoa; Chordata; Mammalia; Carnivora; Mustelidae
Description: lncRNA (ENSMPUG00000024796.1)
Source: RNAcentral